UACAGAGGGUGCGAGCGUUAAUCGGAAUUACUGGGCGUAAAGCGCACGUAGGUGGCGACGUAAGUCGGGUGUGAAAGCCCCGGGCUCAACCUGGGAAUUGCAUUCGAGACUGCAUUGCUGGAGUACGGAAGAGGAAGGCGGAAUUCCCGGUGUAGCGGUGAAAUGCGUAGAUAUCAAGAGGAACACCUGAGGUGAAGACGGGUUGCCGGGCUGACACUGACGCUGAGGCGCGAAAGCCAGGGGAGCAAACGGG
This 253-nucleotide ribosomal RNA is filed under the name uncultured bacterium. RNAcentral's name for it is "partial 16S ribosomal RNA". It matches the Rfam family "Bacterial small subunit ribosomal RNA", at positions 524 to 776 of the family's 1533-position model. The record is from RNAcentral.